CCUACGGGGCGCAGCAGUGGGGAAUAUUGCACAAUGGGGGAAACCCUGAUGCAGCGACGCCGCGUGAAGGAUGAAGUAUUUCGGUAUGUAAAGCUCUAUCAGCAGGGAAGAAAAAAGACGGUACCUGACUAAGAAGCCCCGGCUAACUACGUGCCAGCAGCCGCGGUAAUACGUAGGGGGCAAGCGUUAUCCGGAUUUACUGGGUGUAAAGGGAGCGUAGACGGCGCGGCAAGUCUGAUGUGAAAGGCUGGGGCUCAACCCCAGGACUGCAUUGGAAACUGUUAGGCUAGAGUGUCGGAGA
RNAcentral lists this ribosomal RNA (301 nucleotides) under uncultured bacterium. RNAcentral describes it as "bacterial SSU rRNA". It matches the Rfam family "Bacterial small subunit ribosomal RNA", at positions 338 to 655 of the family's 1533-position model. The record is from RNAcentral.